GUGCCAGCAGCCGCGGUAAUACGUAGGGCGCAAGCGUUAUCCGGAAUUAUUGGGCGUAAAGAGCUCGUAGGCGGUUUGUCGCGUCUGCCGUGAAAGUCCGGGGCUCAACUCCGGAUCUGCGGUGGGUACGGGCAGACUAGAGUGAUGUAGGGGAGACUGGAAUUCCUGGUGUAGCGGUGAAAUGCGCAGAUAUCAGGAGGAACACCGAUGGCGAAGGCAGGUCUCUGGGCAUUAACUGACGCUGAGGAGCGAAAGCAUGGGGAGCGAACAGGAUUAGAUACCCUGGUAGUCCAUGCCGUAAACGUUGGGCACUAGGUGUGGGGGACAUUCCACGUUUUCCGCGCCGUAGCUAACGCAUUAAGUGCCCCGCCUGGGGAGUACGGCCGCAAGGCUAAAACUCAAAGGAAUUGACGGGGGCCCGCACAAGCGGCGGAGCAUGCGGAUUAAUUCGAUGCAACGCGAAGAACCUUACCAAGGCUUGACAUGAACCGGAAAGGCCUGGAAACAGGUCCCCCACUUGUGGUCGGUUUACAGGUGGUGCAUGGUUGUCGUCAGCUCGUGUCGUGAGAUGUUGGGUUAAGUCCCGCAACGAGCGCAACCCUCGUUCUAUGUUGCCAGCACGUGAUGGUGGGGACUCAUAGGAGACUGCCGGGGUCAACUCGGAGGAAGGUGGGGACGACGUCAAAUCAUCAUGCCCCUUAUGUCUUGGGCUUCACGCAUGCUACAAUGGCCGGUACAAAGGGUUGCGAUACUGUGAGGUGGAGCUAAUCCCAAAAAGCCGGUCUCAGUUCGGAUUGGGGUCUGCAACUCGACCCCAUGAAGUCGGAGUCGCUAGUAAUCGCAGAUCAGCAACGCUGCGGUGAAUACGUUCCCGGGCCUUGUACACACCGCCCGU
This 895-nucleotide ribosomal RNA is filed under the name Arthrobacter sp. c12. RNAcentral's name for it is "bacterial SSU rRNA". It matches the Rfam family "Bacterial small subunit ribosomal RNA", at positions 505 to 1397 of the family's 1533-position model. Lineage: Bacteria; Bacillati; Actinomycetota; Actinomycetes; Micrococcales; Micrococcaceae. The record is from RNAcentral.